RNAcentral lists this ribosomal RNA (253 nucleotides) under uncultured bacterium. RNAcentral's name for it is "partial 16S ribosomal RNA". It matches the Rfam family "Bacterial small subunit ribosomal RNA", at positions 524 to 776 of the family's 1533-position model. The record is from RNAcentral.
UACGUAGGUGGCUAGCGUUGUCCGGAUUUACUGGGCGUAAAGAGCGCGCAGGCGGUCGUUCAAGUCGAGUGUGAAAGCCCCCGGCUCAACUGGGGAGGGUCACUCGAUACUGAUCGACUCGAAGGCAGGAGAGGGAAGCGGAAUUCCCGGUGUAGUGGUGAAAUGCGUAGAUAUCUGGAGGAACACCGGUGGCGAAGGCGGCAUCCUGGACCAACACUGACACUGAGGAGCGAAAGCCAGGGGAGCAAACGGG